GAGAAUUAGCUAAAGUCCAACUGCCUUUAAAUCUAACAUGGGAUUGUCUGAUUCAACCUGUGAUUUCUUCAAUCCCUCAUAGUCCUUGUAUUUUCAGAAAGGAAUGGCACUUUACUUAAUGACUGACAUGAAUAAAUCUGGCCACACCCCGAAAGGAACUGUUGAGGAGAGCAUGGGAAGGUAUCAAGAACAAACAAACGCAGCAAACAAAGAAAAAUCCAUGGCACGGACGUCUUCAUGCAUCCAUAAAUCUUUUGCGCGGGUUGAAAUAGUGUCAUUGAAGAAAGAUCUUUUUUUGUGCAAAUUUCAAUAAAUGCCAACGGAACAGUGCAGUAAA
This is a non-coding RNA of Pelodiscus sinensis (Chinese soft-shelled turtle), 337 nucleotides long. The record is from RefSeq and is a predicted model, not a curated record. NCBI's taxonomy places the organism in Eukaryota, Metazoa, Chordata, Testudines, Trionychidae.